Non-coding RNA from Gorgonomyces haynaldii, 73 nucleotides. The record is from the annotation of a GenBank genome assembly. NCBI's taxonomy places the organism in Eukaryota, Fungi, Chytridiomycota, Chytridiomycetes, Rhizophydiales, Gorgonomycetaceae.
GCCUUCAUAGCUCAAUUGGGAGAGCGUAAGACUGAAGAUCUUAAGGUCGUGCGUUCGAUCCGCACUGAAGGCA